UCAGGUAGGACUAUCUUGGUCACUUAGAGGAAGUAAAAGUCGUAACAAGGUCUCCGUUGGUGAACCAGCGGAGGGAUCAUUAUCGAGUUAUUCAACUCCCAAACCCUAUGUGAACUUACCACUAGUUGCUUCGGCGCGCGCUUCGGCGCCGCCGAGGACACUUAAACUCUUUGUUUUUAUGAGCAUUUCUGAGUGGCCGAAAGGCAAAAAUACAAAUGAAUCAAAACUUUCAACAACGGAUCUCUUGGUUCUGGCAUCGAUGAAGAACGCAGCGAAAUGCGAUAAGUAAUGUGAAUUGCAGAAUUCAGUGAAUCAUCGAAUCUUUGAACGCACAUUGCGCCCGCCAGCAUUCUGGCGGGCAUGCCUGUUCGAGCGUCAUUUCAACCCUCGAGCCCGACUCUUUUGAGGACGGCUCGGCGUUGGGGGACGGCAGACUCCCCCCGGCAUCUCGCCGGGGACGCCGCCCCCGAAAUCUAGUGGCGGCCCUCCGAGGCGACCUCUGCGUAGUAACUUGUUCUCGCACCGGAAAGCUCAGAGCGGCCACGCCGUAAAACCCCAACUUUUUUCAGGUUGACCUCGAAUCAGGUAGGACUA
This 594-nucleotide ribosomal RNA is filed under the name uncultured fungus. RNAcentral's name for it is "eukaryotic LSU rRNA". The stretch from base 225 to 378 matches the Rfam family "5.8S ribosomal RNA". Lineage: Eukaryota; Fungi. The record is from RNAcentral.